Molecule: transfer RNA, 155 nt
Filed under: Candidatus Aenigmatarchaeota archaeon
Lineage: Archaea; Nanobdellati; Candidatus Aenigmatarchaeota
Description: tRNA-Ser
Rfam family: tRNA (bases 1-58)
Source: RNAcentral
GCUGAGGUGGCCGAGUCGGGUUCAAGGCGCAAGGUUGCUAACCUUGUGUGCUUCGGCACUCGAGGGUUCAAAGGAACCCUUUAGCAUAUGUAAACAUGCUAAAGCGUUCGCGGAAAAUACGCUUCCGCGCGGUUCUGGGAUUCCCUCCCUCAGCG